This 433-nucleotide ribosomal RNA is filed under the name uncultured bacterium. RNAcentral describes it as "partial 16S ribosomal RNA". It matches the Rfam family "Bacterial small subunit ribosomal RNA", at positions 29 to 507 of the family's 1533-position model. The record is from RNAcentral.
AACGAACGCUGGCGGCAUGCCUAACACAUGCAAGUCGAACGAGACCUUCGGGUCUAGUGGCGCACGGGUGCGUAACGCGUGGGAACCUUCCCUUAGGUUCGGAAUAACUCCCCGAAAGGGGUGCUAAUACCGGAUAAUUUCUUCGGACCAAAGAUUUAUCGCCUUUGGAUGGGCCCGCGUUGGAUUAGCUAGUUGGUAGGGUAAAAGCCUACCAAGGCGACGAUCCAUAGCUGGUCUGAGAGGAUGAUCAGCCACACUGGGACUGAGACACGGCCCAGACUCCUACGGGAGGCAGCAGUGGGGAAUAUUGGACAAUGGGCGAAAGCCUGAUCCAGCAAUGCCGCGUGAGUGAUGAAGGCCUUAGGGUUGUAAAGCUCUUUUACCCGGGAUGAUAAUGACAGUACCGGGAGAAUAAACUCCGGCUAACUCCGUG